GAUGAACGCUGGCGGCGUGCCUAAUACAUGCAAGUCGAGCGAACAGACGAGGAGCUUGCUCCUCUGACGUUAGCGGCGGACGGGUGAGUAACACGUGGAUAACCUACCUAUAAGACUGGGAUAACUUCGGGAAACCGGAGCUAAUACCGGAUAAUAUAUUGAACCGCAUGGUUCAAUAGUGAAAGACGGUUUUGCUGUCACUUAUAGCUGGAUCCGCGCCGCAUUAGCUAGUUGGUAAGGUAACGGCUUACCAAGGCGACGAUGCGUAGCCGACCUGAGAGGGUGAUCGGCCACACUGGAACUGAGACACGGUCCAGACUCCUACGGGAGGCAGCAGUAGGGAAUCUUCCGCAAUGGGCGAGAGCCUGACGGAGCAACGCCGCGUGAGUGAUGAAGGUCUUCGGAUCGUAAAACUCUGUUAUUAGGGAAGAACAAAUGUGUAAGUAACUAUGCACGUCUUGACGGUACCUAAUCAGAAAGCCACGGCUAACUACGUG
RNAcentral lists this ribosomal RNA (497 nucleotides) under uncultured bacterium. RNAcentral describes it as "partial 16S ribosomal RNA". It matches the Rfam family "Bacterial small subunit ribosomal RNA", at positions 28 to 507 of the family's 1533-position model. The record is from RNAcentral.